Molecule: ribosomal RNA, 301 nt
Filed under: uncultured bacterium
Lineage: Bacteria
Description: partial 16S ribosomal RNA
Rfam family: Archaeal small subunit ribosomal RNA
Source: RNAcentral
CAGCCGCCGCGGUAACACCAGCACCUCGAGUGGUCAGGAGGUUUAUUGGGCCUAAAGCAUCCGUAGCCGGUUGCAUAAGUUUUCGGUUAAAUCUAUGCGCUUAACGUAUAGGCCGCCGAAAAUACUGUGCAGCUAGGGAGUGGGAGAGGUACACGGUACUCGAUAGGAAGGGGUAAAAUCCUUUGAUCUAUUGAUGACCACCUGUGGCGAAGGCGGUGUACCAGAACACGUUCGACGGUGAGGGAUGAAAGCUGGGGGAGCAAACCGGAUUAGAUACCCCCGUAGUCCCUGUCUCUUAUAC